RNAcentral lists this ribosomal RNA (420 nucleotides) under uncultured bacterium. RNAcentral describes it as "bacterial SSU rRNA". It matches the Rfam family "Bacterial small subunit ribosomal RNA", at positions 917 to 1338 of the family's 1533-position model. The record is from RNAcentral.
GGACCCGCACAAGCGGUGGAGCAUGUGGUUUAAUUCGAUGCAACGCGAAAAACCUUACCUACUCUUGACAUACUUGGGAGCUCUUGUAAUGAGAGUGUGCCUUUUGGAACCAAGAUACAGGUGCUGCAUGGCUGUCGUCAGCUCGUGUCGUGAGAUGUUCCGUUAAGUCGGAUAACGAGCGCAACCCUUACCCUUAUUUGCCAGCGAUUCGGUCGGGAACUAUAAGGGGACUGCCGGUGAUAAACCGGAGGAAGGUGAGGACGACGUCAAGUCAUCAUGGCCCUUACGAGUAGGGCUACACACGUGCUACAAUGGGGAAUACAGACGGACGCUAAGCCGCGAGGUGGUGCUAAUCCUAGAAAGUUUCUCGUAGUCCGGAUUGGAGUCUGCAACUCGACUCCAUGAAGUCGGAAUCGCUAG